Long non-coding RNA from Peromyscus maniculatus bairdii (prairie deer mouse), 818 nucleotides. RefSeq lists it as uncharacterized. NCBI's taxonomy places the organism in Eukaryota, Metazoa, Chordata, Mammalia, Rodentia, Cricetidae. The record is from RefSeq and is a predicted model, not a curated record.
CAGCAUAUCAAGUUGGGUAGGACCAAGCUCCUCCCCCUGUACUAAGAGGCUGGGCAAGGCAACCCAGUAUGAGAAAUAGGUUCCUGAAAGCCAGCCAAAGCGUUAGGGACAGGCUCUGCUUCCACCCCCAGGAGUCUCCCAAGUAGAUCAGGCUAGACAACGGUCACAUGUAUAUAGAGGGCCCAGGUCAGUCUCAUGCAGGCUCCCCAGCUGUCAGUCCAGAGUCUGUGAGUUCCUAUGAGUCCAGAUUAGUAGUUUCUAAGAGUUCCCUUGUGAUGACCUUGACCCCCUGACUCAUACAAUCCUUCCUCCUGCUCUUCAACAGGAUUCCUGAACUCGGCCCAGGGCUUGGCUGUGGAUCUCUGAAUCUGUUUCCAUCAGUCGCUGGAUGAAGGCUCUUUGAUGUUUUCAGAUAGGAAGCUGAAGCUAGGAGGUGCUGAAUGAGGCGAUGGAACUCCCGUAAUAAUACAAAUCACAGAAGCCCUGCCCACUCUGUCAGUAACAAUCUGUCAAGGACAGCAGACCAAAGACUGCAAACAACAGGAAUUUAUUUACUCAGGCUCCUCAAGGUGAAGUAGGAUCUGUUGUGGGAACCCACUCUGCUGAUGGCUUUGGGGGUGCAAACCCUAGGGCGUGGCUUUCCCUCUGCCGAAGUGGCCCUUUAAGAGCUGAGGGAGUCCAGGGGUGAGCUCUCCCAUGGGUGGUGAAGCACUGUGUGAUUGUCCCCAGCUUUCCAGGGACUCUGCAUCUGGAUUUACCAUAUCCUGUGUUCGUGAGUGUACUUCUCCAUUUCAUUCUUAAUAAAACCCUGACACCCA